CGUUUUGUGGGGUGCUCGAGUGGCGAACGGGUGAGUAACACGUGAGUAACCUGCCCUUGACUUUGGGAUAACUUCAGGAAACUGGGGCUAAUACCGGAUAGGAGCUCCUGCUGCAUGGUGGGGGUUGGAAAGUUUCGGCGGUUGGGGGUGGACUCGCGGCUUAUCAGCUUGUUGGUGGGGUAGUGGCUCACCAAGGCUUUGACGGGUAGCCGGCCUGAGAGGGUGACCGGCCACAUUGGGACUGAGAUACGGCCCAG
This 257-nucleotide ribosomal RNA is filed under the name uncultured Actinomycetales bacterium. RNAcentral's name for it is "partial 16S ribosomal RNA". It matches the Rfam family "Bacterial small subunit ribosomal RNA", at positions 76 to 334 of the family's 1533-position model. The record is from RNAcentral. Lineage: Bacteria; Bacillati; Actinomycetota; Actinomycetes; Actinomycetales.